RNAcentral lists this long non-coding RNA (632 nucleotides) under Parus major (Great Tit). RNAcentral describes it as "lncRNA (ENSPMJG00000010826.1)". The record is from RNAcentral. Lineage: Eukaryota; Metazoa; Chordata; Aves; Passeriformes; Paridae.
GGAAAAUGAAGUAACUUUCUUCCCUUUUUUUUAUUAAUGGGGGAUCCAGGGUAGAACCUUUACAGGCUGCAGGUAUCAGAAGAAUCAGCAUUAGCAACUAGCAUCAAGAGCCAGAACUACCUGCAGAUUGAACCAUGGAGAUGUUUACUGCACUCUCCCAUCAAAAGUGCACUGUUGCAUUGGAAGAAGGAAUGCAUUUCACCAGGCAGAUGAAAAGCAAGCAGAAAACAGCACUGGAAUACUUGCUGUUGACCUGUUCUCCUGAAAGGAAAGCAGACAGAAAGCCAAUAAGGUUUGGAGAAAAAAAAGCUGGAAGAACAUUUUCCAAAAACUGUUGGCUUAAACCCAGAAGACCCCCAGCAGCUGAAGAUACUCUGCAACACUGCCUCCUUUUUCAGGGAUGCUCAGUCAUGUUCUUCCUCAGGUCAAUACUAAAGCAAUAAUUAGUAUUGUCAAACAUUUUAGACAAACAAAUUACUUUAUUUAUUUUCUUGUGAAGAGUGAACAUGAUUUUCUGAGCCUGAGAGAGUUUUAAGUCUGUCAGUGGCUGACCUGUUUCCCAAGGGAAAGUCUUUUGGGAAUUUUUCUCCCUCAAGGACUAUUUUAAAUAGGUUUUUGGUUCUCAAGACAAU